CAGGAGCUCAGUCCGGGGUUCCUGGCUCCCUAGUGACAGCGGAGACAGGAAGCAGUCAGGCAUCCCCCAACCCCAAGCGCUAGGCCUGCCCUUGGAGGGGUGCACUGGACACUUUCCCGCGUAACUCCCAUCUCUGACCCCAUGGCAAAGUCCCCAGGGAACUCUACCCUGGAGGACAGUCUGGGGCAAUACCAACGGAGUCUCCGGGAGCGUGCCGAUAGAAGCCUUCACCAGUUGAAAUGUGCCCUGAGAGAGAGAGAAAUGUGUGUGGAAGAAGAGGCACUGGAUCCUCCCACCAGCAUCAACGUAGAAAAUGAGGACUCAGGGGUGGCCUGGUAUGAACUGCAGCACAGCCAUGCUGUCAAUCAGCUCAAAGCUUUGUUGCGCCAACAAGCAAGUAAGGACAAUGAGAUGUCUCCACCACGAAGACGAAAGAUGUCCCCUUCGCGGCCAUCGGAAUGUGAGGACAGUAGCAUGCCUUCUCUGCACAACCUCGUUCCUAUCAUUAACGACCAGUCUCAGUACAUCCACCAUUUAGAAGCAGAAGUUAAGUUCUGCAAGGAUGAACUAGCUGGAAUGAAAAAUAGGGUACAAGUAGUUGUACUUGAGAAUGAAAGGCUCCAGCAAGAACUGAAAUCUCAAAGACAGGAGGAGACCCUGAGGGAGCAGACACUUCUGGAUGCAUCUGGAAACAUUCAGGAUUCUUGGAUUAAGACAGGAGAAGAUUCCAGGGUGGAUGAAGCUGCAAAGAGACCAUUUUCUCACGGUGAUGCUGAAACCGGCAAAACUACAUCCUUCAGCGAUGCUGAAAAGUGGAAGCUAGAGCUGGAGAGGCUGAAACUUACAUAUGAGGCGAAGAGCGACCUUCUGGAGUCUCAGUUGACGCUUCUGAGGAAAGACUUAGUUGAAUAUCAGAAAACCUGUGAGGAUCUUAGGGAAAGAUUGAAGCAUAAAGAAUCUCUUCUGGCUGCUAGUGCCUCCAGCCGUGUGGGUGGCCUCUGUUUGAAAUGUGCUCAGCACGAGGCCGUCCUUUCCCAGACCCACAGCAAUGUGCACAUCCAGACCAUCGAGACACUGACCAAAGAGAGGGAUGACUUAAUGUCUGCGCUAGUUUCUGUGCGGAGCAGCUUGGCAGAAGUGCAGCAGAGAGAGACGAGUGCCUACAAACAGGUGAAGCAGGCUGUGCAGAUGACCGAGGAGGCCAGCUUUGAAAAGACCAAGGCUCUGAUCCAGUGUGAGCAGCUGAAGAGUGAGCUGGAGAGGCAGACAGAAAGACUGGAAAAAGAACUUGCCGCUCAGCUAGAGAAACGGGCUUUUGAGAAGGAGAUGAUAAAGAAAGAAGUAGCCAAGGAGAGGGAGGAUGCAGAGUCAAAGAUAUUGAUCCUAUCUCAGAACAUUGCUAAGCUGGAGGCCCAGGUGGAAACGGUGACUAGGGAGAAGGUUUCGGCUGUCAGCCAACUGGAGGACGUUCAGAGCCGGCUUGCUUCUCAGGAAGCGGAUGUCUCAAAGGUGUGUGGAGAAAUGCGUUUUCAGUUGAAUAAAACGAAAAUGGAGAAGGAUGAGGCAGAAAAGGAGCACAGAGAAUACAAAGCAAAAUCUCAAAGGGAUCUUGAAAUUAAAGAUGAGGAAAUAGAGAAAUUGAGACUAGAACUGAGCGAAAGCAGGCAGCAUGUGGAACAGGAGCAGCAGAAGGCAGCUCGGGCCAGACAGGAGUGCCUGCAAGUCACAGAGCUGCUGGGCGAGUCUGAGCGCCAACUGCACCUCACCAGACUGGAAAAAGAUAGCAUUCAGCAAAGCUUUAGCAACGAAGCAAAGGCCCAAGCCCUUCAGGCCCAGCAGAGAGAGCAGGAGCUGACACAGAAGAUACAGCAAAUGGAGGCCCAGCACGACAAAACUGAAAAUGAGCAGUAUUCGUUGCUGACCUCCCAGAAUGCAUUUCUGACAAAGUUAAAAGAGGAGUGCUGCACGCUAGCCAGGAAGCUGGAGAAAAUCUCGCAGAAGAGCAGAUUGGAAAUAGUUCGACUCAGCCAAGAAAAAAGAUACAUGUGUGACAAACUGGAGAAGUUACAGAAGAGAAAUGAUGAACUGGAGGAGCAGUGCGUCCAGCACGGGAAGGUGCAUGAGACGAUGAAGGAAAGACUCAGGCAGCUGGAUAAGCACGGCCAGGCCACAGCCCAGCAGCUGGUGCAGUUGCUCAACAAGCAGAAUCAGCUUCUCCUGGAGCGACAGAACCUGUCAGAGGAGGUGGACCGUCUGCGAGCCCAGAUAGGGAAACUGAGGCUCAAACAAGCAUAUUCAGCUAGCAAAUAGGGGCACAACAAAUGGAACCUAUGUCUGACUCCAAAGCCCAAGCUGUCCCCAUUCAGUUAGAUAAUGGCGGAAAAGUCCAGUUACCCAGCAUGCCACAAUCUGAUUGCUGACCUGGAUGAAACAGAGUGAAAUAAAUGAUUUACAAAGAGAUAUGUACAUUCAUCUGA
RNA transcript from Alexandromys fortis (reed vole), 2477 nucleotides. It is a transcript of the gene named SHH signaling and ciliogenesis regulator SDCCAG8, with no coding region annotated. Lineage: Eukaryota; Metazoa; Chordata; Mammalia; Rodentia; Cricetidae. The record is from RefSeq and is a predicted model, not a curated record. The transcript has 19 exons.